UACGUAGGGUGCGAGCGUUAAUCGGAUUUACUGGGCGUAAAGCGUGCGCAGGUGGUUUAAUAAGUCUGAUGUAAAAGGCAGUGGCUCAACCAUUGUGUGCAUUGGAAACUGUUAGACUUGAGUGCAGUAGAGGAGAGUGGAAUUCCAUGUGUAGCGGUGAAAUGCGUAGAGAUCGGGAGGAAUACCAGUGGCGAAGGCGGCCUUCUGGACUGACACUGACACUGAGGUGCGAAAGCGUGGGGAGCAAACAGG
Molecule: ribosomal RNA, 252 nt
Filed under: uncultured microorganism
Description: partial 16S ribosomal RNA
Rfam family: Bacterial small subunit ribosomal RNA
Source: RNAcentral